This 633-nucleotide ribosomal RNA is filed under the name Lactobacillus sp. oral taxon 461. RNAcentral's name for it is "bacterial SSU rRNA". It matches the Rfam family "Bacterial small subunit ribosomal RNA", at positions 370 to 994 of the family's 1533-position model. The record is from RNAcentral. Lineage: Bacteria; Bacillati; Bacillota; Bacilli; Lactobacillales; Lactobacillaceae.
AAUGGACGCAAGUCUGAUGGAGCAACGCCGCGUGAGUGAAGAAGGUUUUCGGAUCGUAAAGCUCUGUUGUUGGUGAAGAAGGAUAGAGGUAGUAACUGGCCUUUAUUUGACGGUAAUCAACCAGAAAGUCACGGCUAACUACGUGCCAGCAGCCGCGGUAAUACGUAGGUGGCAAGCGUUGUCCGGAUUUAUUGGGCGUAAAGCGAGCGCAGGCGGAAAAAUAAGUCUAAUGUGAAAGCCCUCGGCUUAACCGAGGAAUUGCAUCGGAAACUGUUUUUCUUGAGUGCAGAAGAGGAGAGUGGAACUCCAUGUGUAGCGGUGGAAUGCGUAGAUAUAUGGAAGAACACCAGUGGCGAAGGCGGCUCUCUGGUCUGCAACUGACGCUGAGGCUCGAAAGCAUGGGUAGCGAACAGGAUUAGAUACCCUGGUAGUCCAUGCCGUAAACGAUGAGUGCUAAGUGUUGGGAGGUUUCCGCCUCUCAGUGCUGCAGCUAACGCAUUAAGCACUCCGCCUGGGGAGUACGACCGCAAGGUUGAAACUCAAAGGAAUUGACGGGGGCCUGCACAAGCGGUGGAGCAUGUGGUUUAAUUCGAAGCAACGCGAAGAACCUUACCAGGUCUUGACAUCUAGCGC